AGGAACUGGGAGAGAGCUGAGUAAGCAUGAAAAGAUCACUUUUAGAGUCUCCAUUACUGCCUCUCCUUCCAGUCCCCAGCACUGUAGAAGCACAGAUGAGAGGAGAGUUAUGGAUUGAGCGACUUAUCACUGUCUCUAUUCAUUUACCAUUUCCCCUGCUGAAAUCUAAGGGUCAUGACGGAAAGGACUUUGUCUCAUCUGGUGAAGUGGUUUGACUAUGUCCCCACCCAAAUCUCAUCUUGAAUUCCUGCGCGUUGUGGGAGGGACCCAGUGGGAGGUAACUGAGUAAUGGGGUGGGUCAUUCCCCUACUGUUCUCGUGAUAGUGAAUAAGUCACAUGAGAUCUAAUGGGUU
Molecule: long non-coding RNA, 353 nt
Organism: Sapajus apella (tufted capuchin)
Lineage: Eukaryota; Metazoa; Chordata; Mammalia; Primates; Cebidae
Exons: 2
Source: RefSeq, a predicted model, not a curated record